GGUCCAAAGUAAAAUUAUAGCUCACAAAGCUAUCCUCCAUAUCACAUACUAACAGAUUGCCAUAUUGGAAACAUCCAACAAAACAACUAAAUAAUACCACAACAAACUUCUUGCCAUAAACGUAUAAUUAUAGCAUGAAAUAUGUGAGGCUAAAGAACAAGAAGAAAUGACUAGCAAGGAAUUGGAAUAAAAGAAUCAAAAAAUAAAUAAAAAAUACCUCUCUACAGAAGCAAUCCAAUAAAAAAAUUAUGAACAAUAGUAUAUAUUGCUU
This 271-nucleotide long non-coding RNA is filed under the name Physcomitrium patens. RNAcentral's name for it is "long non-coding RNA (PPAT_LNC014259)". The record is from RNAcentral. Lineage: Eukaryota; Viridiplantae; Streptophyta; Bryopsida; Funariales; Funariaceae.